RNAcentral lists this long non-coding RNA (554 nucleotides) under Aotus nancymaae (Ma's night monkey). RNAcentral describes it as "lncRNA (ENSANAG00000039308.1)". The record is from RNAcentral. Lineage: Eukaryota; Metazoa; Chordata; Mammalia; Primates; Aotidae.
CAAAAACAGCAAAUGGAGUAACUUCUGUUGAAAAAUUCUCCUUCUUGAAUAUCUUUUUCCUUCCUUUCUCAGGUAAAAAUGGUGGUACCUUUGGAAAUCCAACAGCAGCUUCAAGAGUCAACUACACCGGCAAUCCCUAAAGUUGGAGAAUUUAUGCCCAUGGAAAAGUCUGUAGCGUUUCUCAAACCGUGAGGCUGAGGAAUAGAGUUAGUUCCUGCAGCAGAACAAAAUGGUAGCCCCUUUUCUUUCCACGAAAAGAGUUUCUACGGAGACAGCAGGUUUCCUAUUGGAUUGUUGUCAGGGACCUUUUCAGAAGAGCCUCUUAAGACACAUGUUUCGGAAUGCGGUCAAAUGCGUGCUGCUGUACGACCAGCCUAUUUGGUUAGUGCCCAUGCCAUUGUACAGGGGAGAAACCAAGGACUAGAGGAAGUGCCAUAGAUGGUUGAGCAGAGCCAGAGCCUGAACCUAGCUCAUGGCAGUGACCCGAAAGAGCUUGCAGAGCUUACAACGGUAAGUCCUUUGUCUCCCCUCUCUUCGUCCUACCUCUGGUGGUU